AACCAUAGAAACCUGCGGAGUACCUGCGGAAGGAUCAUUACAGAGUUGCAAAACUCCCUAAACCAUUGUGAACGUUACCUAAACCGUUGCUUCGGCGGGCGGCCCGGGUCCUUCCCGGCGCCCAUCGGCCCUCGCGGGCGCCCGCCGGAGGUAAACCAAACUAUUGCAUUGUAUGGCCUCUCCGAGUCUUCUGUACUGAAUAAGUCAAAACUUUCAACAAUGGAUCUCAGAUCGGAAGAG
Molecule: unclassified non-coding RNA, 240 nt
Filed under: soil metagenome
Description: partial contains 5.8S ribosomal RNA, internal transcribed spacer 2, and large subunit ribosomal RNA
Source: RNAcentral